AUACGAAGGGGGCUAGCGUUGUUCGGAAUUACUGGGCGUAAAGCGCACGUAGGCGGAUUGUUAAGUUAGGGGUGAAAUCCCAGGGCUCAACCCUGGAACUGCCUCUAAUACUGGCAAUCUCGAGUUCGAGAGAGGUGAGUGGAAUUCCGAGUGUAGAGGUGAAAUUCGUAGAUAUUCGGAGGAACACCAGUGGCGAAGGCGGCUCACUGGCUCGAUACUGACGCUGAGGUGCGAAAGCGUGGGGAGC
This 247-nucleotide ribosomal RNA is filed under the name uncultured bacterium. RNAcentral describes it as "partial 16S ribosomal RNA". It matches the Rfam family "Bacterial small subunit ribosomal RNA", at positions 523 to 769 of the family's 1533-position model. The record is from RNAcentral.